Molecule: non-coding RNA, 118 nt
Organism: Paramuricea clavata
Lineage: Eukaryota; Metazoa; Cnidaria; Anthozoa; Malacalcyonacea; Plexauridae
Source: the annotation of a GenBank genome assembly
GUUAUAGAUACACAGUAUGACGUCAUAUGUGAUAAGAACAAAAAAGUACACGAGCCGCCUAGGUGAGUGAUCACUUUUUGUUCUUACCACAUAUGACGUCAUACUGUGUAUCUAUAAC